AUGAACGCUGGCGGCGUGCCUCAUACAUGCCAGUCGCGCGAACAGACGAGGAGCUUGCUCCUCUGACGUUAGCGGCGGACGGGUGAGUAACACGUGGAUAACCUACCUAUAAGACUGGGAUAACUUCGGGAAACCGGAGCUAAUACCGGAUAAUAUAUUGAACCGCAUGGUUCAAUAGUGAAAGACGGUUUUGCUGUCACUUAUAGAUGGAUCCGCGCCGCAUUAGCUAGUUGGUAAGGUAACGGCUUACCGAGGCAACGAUGCGUAGCCGACCUGAGAGGGUGAUCGGCCACACUGGAACUGAGACACGGUCCAGACUCCUACGGGAGGCAGCAGUAGGGAAUCUUCCGCAAUGGGCGAAAGCCUGACGGAGCAACGCCGCGUGAGUGAUGAAGGUCUUCGGAUCGUAAAACUCUGUUAUUAGGGAAGAACAAAUGUGUAAGUAACUAUGCACGUCUUGACGGUACCUAAUCAGAAAGCCACGGCUAACUACGUG
RNAcentral lists this ribosomal RNA (496 nucleotides) under uncultured bacterium. RNAcentral describes it as "partial 16S ribosomal RNA". It matches the Rfam family "Bacterial small subunit ribosomal RNA", at positions 29 to 507 of the family's 1533-position model. The record is from RNAcentral.